GAUCUUCAGGGCAGGGUGAGAUUCCCGAUCGGCGGUAAAGUCCGCGAGUGUGUGAGCACAGGACUUGGCAUUUGUCCAAGUCAGGAUCCGGUGAGAUUCCGGAACCGACAGUAUAGUCUGGAUGGAAGAAGAU
RNAcentral lists this non-coding RNA (133 nucleotides) under human gut metagenome. RNAcentral's name for it is "FMN riboswitch (RFN element)". It matches the Rfam family "FMN riboswitch aptamer (RFN element)". From Rfam's summary of the family: The RFN element is a highly conserved domain that is found frequently in the 5'-untranslated regions of prokaryotic mRNAs that encode for flavin mononucleotide (FMN) biosynthesis and transport proteins. The record is from RNAcentral.